UUGACAGUUCUGGAGACUGAAAUAAUCUAAUCAUCCCUGGAGCAUGGGCAGCAGCAGGACAGGCUUCCCCCACUAACAUGCCUUAAACGUGACCUGGAAAGACUGUUGAUACAAAUGGGCCGUACAAUCUCUGUGGUUGAAUGACUCCUUGCUUUUU
RNAcentral lists this small RNA (157 nucleotides) under Manacus vitellinus (golden-collared manakin). Its description in RNAcentral is "TUC338 (ENSMVIG00005000073.1)". The record is from RNAcentral. Lineage: Eukaryota; Metazoa; Chordata; Aves; Passeriformes; Pipridae.